GGAAUAUUGCACAAUGGGCGAAAGCCUGAUGCAGCGACGCCGCGUGAGGGAUGACGGCCUUCGGGUUGUAAACCCCUUUCAGGAGGGAAGAAAUUGACGGUACCUCCAAAAGAAGCACCGGCCAACUACGUGCCAGCAGCCGCGGUAAUACGUAGGGUGCGAGCGUUAUCCGGAAUCAUUGGGCGUAAAGAGCUCGUAGGCGGUUCAGCAAGUCGGCUGUGAAAGUCUGAGGCUCAACCUCAGAAUUGCAGUCGAUACUGCUGUGACUCGAGUCCGGUAGAGGAGAACGGAAUUCCCGGUGUAGCGGUGAAAUGCGCAGAUAUCGGGAGGAACACCAGUAGCGAAGGCGGUUCUCUGGGCCGGCACUGACGCUGAGGAGCGAAAGCGUGGGGAGCAAA
Molecule: ribosomal RNA, 398 nt
Filed under: uncultured bacterium
Lineage: Bacteria
Description: bacterial SSU rRNA
Rfam family: Bacterial small subunit ribosomal RNA
Source: RNAcentral